Molecule: ribosomal RNA, 484 nt
Filed under: uncultured bacterium
Lineage: Bacteria
Description: partial 16S ribosomal RNA
Rfam family: Bacterial small subunit ribosomal RNA
Source: RNAcentral
AUUGAACGCUGGCGGCAGGCCUAACACAUGCAAGUCGAGCGGAUGAAGGGGGCUUGCUCCUGGAUGCAGCGGCGGACGGGCGAGUAAUGCCCAGGAAUCUGCCUGGUCUUGGGGGAUAACGUCCGGAAACGGGCGCUAAUCUCGCAUACGUCCUGAGUGAGAACGUGGGGGAUCUUCGGUCCACACGCUUCCUGAUGAGCCUAGGUGGGAUUAGCUAGUUGGUGGGGUAAAGGCCUACCAAGGCGACGAUCCGUAACUGGUCUGAGAGGAUGAUCAGUCACACUGGAACUGAGACACGGUCCAGACUCCUACGGGAGGCAGCAGUAGGGAAUAUUGGGCAAUGGGCGAAAGCCUGAUCGAGCAAUGCCGCGUGAGUGAAGAAGGUCUUCGGAUUGUAAAGCGCUGUAAGUUGGGAGGAAGGGAAGUAAGUUUAUACGUGACUGUUUUGACGGUACCAACAGAAUAAGCACCGGCUAACUUCGUG